AGAAAAUCACAGAAAAUCAUAUACAUUCACAAAAAAAUAUAUAAAAUAUUAAAAAAUUAUAAAUUUUUUUAUAAAAAAAUAUUAUAAUUUUAAAUAAAAAUAUUUUUAUUAUAUAAAAUUUUUAUAUAAAAUAUUAAUUUAUAAAUAUUAAAUAUGUAUCAAAAAAAAUAAUGACUAUACGAUUCAAUUAAAAAAAAUGGUGCACCC
This 207-nucleotide long non-coding RNA is filed under the name Elaeis guineensis (African oil palm). Its description in RNAcentral is "long non-coding RNA (EGUI_LNC001336)". Lineage: Eukaryota; Viridiplantae; Streptophyta; Magnoliopsida; Arecales; Arecaceae. The record is from RNAcentral.